RNAcentral lists this ribosomal RNA (461 nucleotides) under uncultured bacterium. RNAcentral describes it as "partial 16S ribosomal RNA". It matches the Rfam family "Bacterial small subunit ribosomal RNA", at positions 356 to 834 of the family's 1533-position model. The record is from RNAcentral.
GGGGAAUAUUGGACAAUGGGGGCAACCCUGAUCCAGCAAUGCCGCGUGUGUGAAGAAGGUCUUCGGAUUGUAAAGCACUUUCGACGGGGACGAUGAUGACGGUACCCGUAGAAGAAGCCCCGGCUAACUUCGUGCCAGCAGCCGCGGUAAUACGAAGGGGGCUAGCGUUGCUCGGAAUGACUGGGCGUAAAGGGCGUGUAGGCGGUUUACACAGUCAGAUGUGAAAUCCCCGGGCUUAACCUGGGAGCUGCAUUUGAUACGUGUAGACUAGAGUGUGAGAGAGGGUUGUGGAAUUCCCAGUGUAGAGGUGAAAUUCGUAGAUAUUGGGAAGAACACCGGUGGCGAAGGCGGCAACCUGGCUCAUGACUGACGCUGAGGCGCGAAAGCGUGGGGAGCAAACAGGAUUAGAUACCCUGGUAGUCCACGCUGUAAACGAUGUGUGCUAGAUGUUGGGUAACUUU